RNAcentral lists this ribosomal RNA (634 nucleotides) under uncultured bacterium. RNAcentral's name for it is "bacterial SSU rRNA". It matches the Rfam family "Bacterial small subunit ribosomal RNA", at positions 32 to 644 of the family's 1533-position model. The record is from RNAcentral.
AACGCUGGCGGCGUGGAUAAGACAUGCAAGUCGAACGAGACUUUCUUUGGUAGCAAUACCGAGGAAAGUUUAGUGGCGAACGGGUGCGUAACACGUGGGCAAUCUGCCGAGAAGUGGGGGAUAGCUCGCCGAAAGGCGAAUUAAUACCGCAUGUGAUUAGAGGCGACAUCGCUUCGAAAUCAAAGUCGGGGCAACCUGACGCUUUUUGAGGAGCCCGCGGCCUAUCAGCUUGUUGGUGAGGUGACGGCUCACCAAGGCGAUGACGGGUAGCUGGUCUGAGAGGACGACCAGCCACACUGGGACUGAGACACGGCCCAGACACCUACGGGUGGCAGCAGUCGAGAAUUUUUCUCAAUGGGGGAAACCCUGAACGAGCGACGCCGCGUGGAGGAUGAAAGUCUUCGGGUUGUAAACUCCUGUCAUUUGAGAACAAUGGUUGCGCGUUAACUGCGCUCGACUUGAUAGUACCAGAAGAGGAAUAGACGGCUAACUCUGUGCCAGCAGCCGCGGUAAUACAGAUGUCUCAAGCGUUGUUCGGAUUCAUUGUGCGUAAAGGGUGCGUAUGCGGCGCGGUAAGUCCGGUGUGAUAUUUCCGAGCUUAACUCCUAAACUGCAUUCGAUACUGCCGUGCUUG